This 247-nucleotide ribosomal RNA is filed under the name uncultured bacterium. RNAcentral describes it as "partial 16S ribosomal RNA". It matches the Rfam family "Bacterial small subunit ribosomal RNA", at positions 523 to 769 of the family's 1533-position model. The record is from RNAcentral.
AGACAUAGGAUGCGAGCGUUGUCCGGAUUCAUUGGGCGUAAAGAGUUCGUAGGUGGUUUGUUAAGUCUGAUGUUAAAGAUCGGGGCUCAACCCUGAGACUGCAUUGGAUACUGGCAGACUUGAGUAUGGUAGAGGCUAGUGGAAUUCCCAGUGUAGCGGUGAAAUGCGUAGAUAUUGGGAAGAACACCGGUGGCGUAGGCGACUAGCUGGGCCAUAACUGACGCUGAGGAACGAAAGCCAGGGUAGC